UUUCAUUGCCAAUACCAACCGUUGUGGUUUUGGUGGGUUUAUUUCGGGAUGCCUUGGGUUCCUGGGUUCUUGAUUUCUACCGUAAAAGCACUAGUCAUUGUCACACCUUAGUGGAAUUGGAGGCGAUGCUCAACGGUUUGGAAAUAACCGUUGCUUAUCACUUAACCCCUAUCCUUGUAGAAAUUGAUUCGAUGAAAAUUAUACAAUUUAUUCAUCAUCCAUCACCGAUAUCAUUUAUAAAUACAGAUUAGUGUUGAAGAGUAUCGGGAGUCCAGUGGUGCAACAUAAUUUCCGGAAAGCAAAUGCAGUAGCUGACGUUUUGUCAAGGAAAGGAUCGCAACAACAUCAAUCACCAACUAACCACAUUUUGACAUUUCCACUGGUGGAAUUAGUGGAACAACUUCAAAAGGAUAUCAGCGGAACUCUACUACUGUUAGGACUUCCCUGGAAAAUUCCUCUACCUUAUGUACUACUGUUUGACUUAUCUAUAUAAUAUUUUCCUUGUUUUAUCAAAAAAAAAUUAAGCCUCUCUUUGCAUUGGAAGAAUUCAUACGCAACUACUAGCUUUCUCAAAAUAAAGGAAGAUCUAAUUAUUAUUGCCCGCACAAACAUUCAACAUAUCUUAUAGUUAAGUUGUUUGCCUAUUCUUCUGAUCUCACUCCUUUAUAUAUGUAUCAGAUUUUUAGCUUUCGCCCGAUAAAACAUGAGAUUAAUGGUAUUUGCAAAAAAAAUAAAGGGAAAAGAAAAGUGUCUUAGUGUAGGCUCCC
This 767-nucleotide long non-coding RNA is filed under the name Capsicum annuum. Its description in RNAcentral is "long non-coding RNA (CANN_LNC004276)". Lineage: Eukaryota; Viridiplantae; Streptophyta; Magnoliopsida; Solanales; Solanaceae. The record is from RNAcentral.